AUGAAAUCUUUAUAUAUAUAUAAUUAGAUUACUAUACUAUUAAUAGCAUCAAGUUAUUAAUGCUAUUAGAUUUUCGAUCCUUAAAUGAAAGAAUGUACGGUUUGGUAGAUAGUGGUCCCUAAAAUUGAGUCGGUACUUGGUUGAAUAAUAUAAUCUAACGGAUAAAAAUGAUCAAAAAGAUAAAUCUAACGGUGAAAAAUUUGGUAGCACAAGUGCUUAGUGCUCUUGAUAGCAUAGUAACCGGACUCUCUCUAUAUAUUAUAUAUGUAAUUUACACUCUCAUCAAAUCUCUUUCUAGCAUCUGCAUCAUAAUAUAAAAGAAGAAUGAAUACUAUAUAUAUAUAUAUAUGUACAUACAUAUAUCCACGAUAGAUCGUAAGCACCAAUCAACUAUUCCAAAAACACGUACCGAUAAGAAGGAUGCACCUCUCGCACUUAAGGGUUCAAUCACAGUGCUCAGGAAUUUCGACCUGAAUUAAUCCAUCUGAACAUUAGGUCUCUUACCGUUAGAUCUUUUGUGAAUCAUAAUUAACCCCACUCAACUUAUUAGAUUCAUCCAACUUGACUUAUUAACCUCAUAAACCUUUUUAUUACGGGACAGAAAGUUUAAUCUAUUUUAGUUCAAUAAUAAAUAGCCAGCAUACACCUCAUAAUGAUGCGUGCACAACUACUCCGAUGAAAUUCAAAACUACUUAUCUUCCUUUUCUAACUUUUACCAACAACAAAUUAAAAGCUAAAAAAUCCAAAAAAAGUUAAAGAAUAGACAAGCUAGGCCAAAGUCAUAAAACAAUCUUUGGACACAGGGUCAGAGUAAUACUUUGGUGAGCUUUAUACACUAUCCCAUAAUUAUAUCGCACAAAUAAAUCCCUCUAUAUAUAUAUAUAUAUAUAUAUAUAUAUAUAUAUAUAUAGCAUGUGUAUAUUAAUUAAUACAUCAAUGCCUUUUUUUUUACGAAAAAAAGAAAAAGAAAUUUAAAAAUACAGGUAAGAGUACUCACCAUGCUGUUGUUGUUGGUGGCACGUGACCAUGCAGCGAUAACACACCAAAAGUUGUCAUAUAACAAUUGGAUCUAAUCAGAAUUGGCCAUGUCGCCACCCACUGUACGUACUCAUGGGUCUCUCUCUCUCUCUCUCUCUCUCUCUCUCUCUCUCUCUCUCUCUCUCUCAAUGUUUUGGCCACAUACAAGGUGUUUGUCGAGCUACGGAACAAAUAGAUACACUGCCAUUUUUUAUGCUACAUGUUUACAGCUACAUGGCAACUCCGAAUGUUACGUACAUUUUUAAUCACAAUCACGGGGAACCAUUAAUUUUACGAUUCUUUGGAAAUUGGAGCUCGCAAAUUUGCUGGUGCUCCACUCAUCAGAAACAGUGGAGAUACAACUGGGAAACUGGCCCAGUGUCUUUUCUUUUUUUAACUAUGGAAAUUACAUAUAUAUACUUUUUUCUAUAGCAUUUAUUGCAUGCAAAAAUAAUAAUAUGUGACCUUUACUGUAGAUGAACUGAAAUAUAACAAAUUCUACUGUUUAGUUCUAGGAGCAAUUUGGACGUGUACUUAAAGUCUUAAACAAAGAAAGAAAUAAUAAGAUGACGUGUCAAUUUAGCCAUCUUUCAUCCAGUUUAGGUGGAGGGAUAAGAUUGACUUUUUGUGGUCUAGCUUUUGAGCUGUAGCCAAACCUCGUGAUAAAUUGUAUUAAUUAAUAAUAUUUAUGAAAAAAAUCAUGCGGUGGUGAUCAGGCAUUGGAAGGAGAUAGAGUGAAAGUACGGAUCGUUUUAAGAAGUCAAGCUAGUAAUUGAAAGUACGGAUCAAUUUAGAAAUUAAGUCAAACUCUAUUGAUUCUCGCACAAAAAAACGAAAAAGAAAACAUGUGUUAGUCAAAGAAAACAAUCUGGAAAGGCAAACCUCGAUCGAUCAACUCACGUACAUGAUGGAGGUCCGAUGAACACAUCACACGUCUUACCCGGAGAUGCGACAAAAUUGAUUGACGGAGGUUUUUAACUGAAUCGUAAUUAACAGGAAUCUGAACUCACAACCUUGUGAAACUGAUGACGCUAAUUAGGAAAGCAAUA
This 2066-nucleotide long non-coding RNA is filed under the name Ananas comosus (pineapple). Its description in RNAcentral is "long non-coding RNA (ACOM_LNC011017)". The record is from RNAcentral. Lineage: Eukaryota; Viridiplantae; Streptophyta; Magnoliopsida; Poales; Bromeliaceae.